RNAcentral lists this ribosomal RNA (478 nucleotides) under uncultured bacterium. RNAcentral describes it as "partial 16S ribosomal RNA". It matches the Rfam family "Bacterial small subunit ribosomal RNA", at positions 28 to 507 of the family's 1533-position model. The record is from RNAcentral.
GAUGAACGCUAGCGGCAGGCUUAACACAUGCAAGUCGAGGGGUAUUUAUCUUCGGAUAGAGAGACCGGCGCACGGGUGCGUAACGCGUAUGCAAUCUACCUUUUACAGAGGGAUAGCCCAGAGAAAUUUGGAUUAAUACCUCAUAGUAUAUAGACUCGGCAUCGAGAUUAUAUUAAAGUCACAACGGUAAAAGAUGAGCAUGCGUCCCAUUAGCUAGUUGGUAAGGUAACGGCUUACCAAGGCUACGAUGGGGAGGGGUCCUGAGAGGGAGAUCCCCCACACUUGUACUGAGACACGGACCAGACUCCUACGGGAGGCAGCAGUGAGUAAUAUUAGACAAUGGGAGCAAACCUAAUCCAGCCAUGCCGCGUGCAGGAUGACUGUCCUAUGGAUUGUAAACUGCUUUUAUACGAGAAGAAACACUUCUACGUGUAGCAGCUUGACGGUAUCGUAAGAAUAAGGAUCGGCUAACUCCGUG